GUAGGACCGUUCCGUUAGGAGGUAGGACUGUUCCGUUAGGAGUUAGGACCGUUCUGUUAGGAGGUAGGACACUUCCGUUAGGAGGUAGGACACUUCCGUUAGGAGGUAGGAUACAUCCGUUAGGAGGUAGGACUGUUCCGUUAGGAGGCAGGACACUUCGGUUAGGAGGUAGGACUGUUCCGUUAGGAGGUAGGACACUUCGGUUAGGAGGUAGGACUGUUCCGUUAGGAGGUAGGACACUUCGGUUAGAAGGUAGGACCGUUCCGUUAGGAGGUAGGACCGUUCCGUUAGGAGGUAGGACACUUCCGUUAGAAGGUAGGACACUUCCGUUAGAAGGUAGGACCGUUCUGUUAGGAGGUAGGACCGUUCCGUUAGGAGGUAGGACUGUUCCGUUAGGAGGUAGGACCGGUCCGUUAGGAGGUAGGACCGUUCCGUUAGGAGGUAGGACUGUUCCGUUAGGAGGCAGGACCGUUCCGUUAGGAGGUAGGACUGUUCCGUUAGGAGGUAGGACUGUUCCGUUAGGAGGUAGGACCGUUCCGUUAG
Long non-coding RNA from Oncorhynchus tshawytscha (Chinook salmon), 543 nucleotides. The record is from Ensembl. Lineage: Eukaryota; Metazoa; Chordata; Actinopteri; Salmoniformes; Salmonidae.